Long non-coding RNA from Syngnathoides biaculeatus (alligator pipefish), 568 nucleotides. RefSeq lists it as uncharacterized. The record is from RefSeq and is a predicted model, not a curated record. Lineage: Eukaryota; Metazoa; Chordata; Actinopteri; Syngnathiformes; Syngnathidae. The transcript is spliced from 2 exons.
UAGACAACGUGUGCUCUAUCAUUGUUUUUUUUUCUUCUUCUUCUUUUGCUCCCUCUCUCCAGAGACAUCUGUGCCUUGAAACCAAGGGAGGGUAAGUAAGCGCUGACUCAGCACAGGCAUUUGCUACUCUUUCUCUGAGAAGCAUCUUCAAGGUCCCAGAGGAGAGAUAAAUGCCCAACAGGCUGUGAUGCCCCCCACAAGACUCAGCUGGAGCGCUACUGGGGUGCAUGCAGUGUGCGGCAGCUCUGCUGUUUUUGGCACUCGCUGUUCCUUUUUCCUAUGCAUAUACCUCUUUGAGAAGUCACUUUAAAGAGGCAUAGGGCAUGGGAAAAUGGGGCUGCGGGGUUUUCCACCCAUCCUCCGGCAUCUACGUUCCAACACAGCUGCUCACCUCUCACACUUGAAGUAUAUGUGAACUUUGUGAUGUUAGAUUUCUGAUUUCUACUUAGAGAUAAUGACAAAUUGUCUGCUUUUCUGGUGCUGUGAUGUUGCAUGUUUGCUCAAUUAUGACUCAGAAUUUCUCUGGUCCGUGUUUUGAAUAAAGAUGACAUAUUUGAAAACAACUGAA